This 252-nucleotide ribosomal RNA is filed under the name uncultured prokaryote. RNAcentral's name for it is "partial 16S rRNA". It matches the Rfam family "Archaeal small subunit ribosomal RNA", at positions 475 to 726 of the family's 1478-position model. The record is from RNAcentral.
ACCGGCAGCUCAAGUGGUGGCCAUUAUUAUUGGGCCUAAAGCGUUCGUAGCCGGUUUGAUAAGUCUCUGGUGAAAUCCCGCAGCUUAACUGUGGGACUUGCUGGAGAUACUAUCAGACUUGAGGUCGGGAGAGGUUAGGGGUACUCCCAGGGGAGGGGUGACAUCCCAUAAUCCUGGGAGGACCACCGAUGGCGAAGGUGCCGAACUGGAGUGAAACCGGCGGUGGGUAGAGAAAGCCAGUGGCGCGAACCG